This is a long non-coding RNA of Orcinus orca (killer whale), 916 nucleotides long. RefSeq lists it as uncharacterized. Lineage: Eukaryota; Metazoa; Chordata; Mammalia; Artiodactyla; Delphinidae. The transcript is spliced from 3 exons. The record is from RefSeq and is a predicted model, not a curated record.
CCACCCGCCUGGCCAAGAGUAGAAUUUUUGUUUUCCUCUCCACAGUAACUGGUUCAGAGAUUUAUCCUCACCAGAUCAACAGCAGUUAUUUCAGGACAUUUUGCUGAAGCUAUUAAGAAAGAGAAACUGUUAUUACUCUUUACAUGAACCACUGAGAUACAGGCAUCAAGCUUCUGGGGGCCACGACUGGGAAGGGAACUGCCUGGGAAAUAAAAACAACAUGGAAGAGAGAAGAGUUGAGAGAUGCAGAUGAAGAUCUAGUCCUGAUGAUAACAUCUGAGUGGCUAUAACUCUGUACCUCUUUGUAUUGCUAUUGGAGGAGGUCACCGAGAGGACACGACAGCUGAUUGACCUGCAUGCUGGACUCUGGACAUUCGAGGCUCCUCCACCCCUCCCCCGUCCUUGGAAUGUACAUUCCGCCCACCAUUUCCGCCACUGGAAGCUGUUUGAAGAGCGCAGCCUUGAGAGAGUAAGGUGUUGUUGAGACCAUCUGGACCGAAUAUGCUGACUGAACCCAGUUAAGGCCUCUACAUAAACUUUUAAGACUGGCGGUCGGUGCGGAGAUCUCGUCUUUCGGCUGCUGAAGACAAGCCUCGUGUGUUGCUGGCAACCCUGGAUAAUUGGAAGAGGCCACCAUCCCAAAGUGUUUCUGCAGCUGAUAGCUUCCUCCCAAGAGGAAGGAAGGCAGAGGUGAGUCAAGUGCCUGGUUAAUUGCCUCAAAUUUACACAUCAAACAGAUCAUCUCACCUUCCUAAUGACAAAGAGAGGUGACCAGUUUGUUGAGAAAAAAAUUCUUCCUCAAGUUAGAUAAGAGUGGUAGUGGGGUAAAUGUUCCCAAUUAACGUACUCAGUGAGAAGGUAUGGUGGGGCGGGGUCUUUCUCUGCUGGUCACAGAAGCUUCACAGCACCGUUUUCU